AAUUCUCAAACCACAGACUUGUGUUUGUGGCUUGGAUAGUUGGGUGUUGCCUAAUUUUAAAAGUAAGGCUCUCCUUAAAUGUAUAAGUGGUGCAUUUAGAAACUUGUUAGGUGUUGUAAAUUUAUUAAUACAUCUAUAUUUCUGAAAUGAGCUGCUCCUAAUAAAAACUUUUGAUGAUU
Molecule: unclassified non-coding RNA, 179 nt
Filed under: uncultured Agaricales
Lineage: Eukaryota; Fungi; Basidiomycota; Agaricomycetes; Agaricales
Description: sequence contains ITS2
Source: RNAcentral